UUUUGUUUUACCUUUCUCGGAAAGACGUUGUUGAUGAGAAACUUCCUGAACGCCAGAGCUAUCAAGACUCUUGUUUUCCAGUUUCUUUGUUCUUCUUUCCUGUUCCUAUCUCGUCAGGGAGUCAUUCUUUGCGGUGAAUGACAGGAAAGGGCCUGGUGAAUUCUCCUGGAGAAUCGACAUGUAGUCAAAUGAUAGUGAUCCACAUCCAGGGGCCAGACCUAUUCAUCUGUUCUAACGUGUGGUGGAGGUGGAGUGGGGAUGCUGCUGUUGAGAAAGCUCUGAAAACAUCUCAGCAGUCAGAGACUGACUUCUUAUCAGUGAGAAGAGUACCUUUUCAUAUGCCAACACAUGUACUACUUACUUUUUUAUUUUUUACAUAGCCCUCCCUCCCUCCACACACACACACACACACACACACACAAUUUAUGUGUUGAAACAAACAGGAAUAAAAGGUGACAAUCUGUACUUUUGCCUCAUUAAUCUUUCAAUCAUAUUUUCAUAGUGUGCGCAUUGAGAGUGCCACAAAAUAACCAUUCUGACUUUAUUGUCCCAAUAUAUAUGGAGGGCACUGUUUGAACAAAAUGUGCUGUUUUUAG
Long non-coding RNA from Esox lucius (northern pike), 596 nucleotides. The record is from Ensembl. Lineage: Eukaryota; Metazoa; Chordata; Actinopteri; Esociformes; Esocidae.